Bos taurus (domestic cattle) is the source of this 1014-nucleotide long non-coding RNA. NCBI's taxonomy places the organism in Eukaryota, Metazoa, Chordata, Mammalia, Artiodactyla, Bovidae. The record is from Ensembl.
AUAACUUCUCGAGCAGCUGGGCUUUCCGAAGGCCCGUUUGGGGCCAAAUGCCUCACCUUCGGGUGGUGCGCGCCCGAGCAUGGCCGCGCGGCCUGGGCCUCCUCCUUGCUCCCCAAGGAGCAGUCACCACCUGCUCUGAAGGAAACCGCUACAGAGCAAGCUCUCUCCACCGCCCUCGGGUCAGGGGCCUCACUAUUCCUUGAGACACAACAGUAUUGAAAUCAGCCAAUUGAUAAGCCUGCAAUGACUCCAAUGUUGAAGUGAAGAGGAAGACUUGCAUGUCUCUCACUUUAAAUCGAAAGCUAGAAACAAUUAAGCACAAUGAGGAAGACAUCCUGAAGCUGAGAUAGGCUGGAAACGAGGCCUCUUGAGUCAGUGAGCCAAGUUGUCAGGGAAGGAAAAGUGCUUAAAGGAAAUUCAAAGUGCUGCUCCAGUGAAUAGACGAAUGAGAAAGCAAAACAGCUUGCUGCUGAUAUCGAGAAAGUUGUAGUGGUCUGGAGAGAAGGUCAGACCAGCCACAACAUUCAUUCUCUUAAGCCAAAGCCUAACCCAGAGCAAGGCCCUAAGUCUCUUCAAUUCCCUGAAGGCUGAGAGGUGAGGAAGCUGCAGGAGAGAAGUCUGAAGCUAGCCAAGGUUGGGUCAUGAGAUAUGUCAGGAAAGACCCUGUCUCCGUAACAAGAGUGCAAGGGAGUCUCAACCAUCAGUGAGAUUUUUAAAAGGCUAUCAAAUAUUUGGGGAUCUUCCCAACCCAGGGAUCGAACCCAGGUCUCUGUCUGGAUUCUCUACUCUCUGGUAGCCUCUCCCUUCUCCAGGGGAUCUUCCUGACCAAAGAAUUGAACCGGGAUCUCCUGCAUUGCAGGUGGAUUCUUUACCAGCUGAGCUACCAGGGAAGCCCCGAGGAAAGAGUACUCAACCAAAAAAUAUAGGAACUAUGGCAUAACAGAGUUGUCAGGCAUUUAAUUAAAAUGCUGUUUUUCUGGAUUUAUUUAUGAAAUUUGUCAGUCUUUUUAAUAU